Molecule: ribosomal RNA, 460 nt
Filed under: uncultured bacterium
Lineage: Bacteria
Description: partial 16S ribosomal RNA
Rfam family: Bacterial small subunit ribosomal RNA
Source: RNAcentral
CCUACGGGAGGCAGCAGUGAGGAAUAUUGGUCAAUGGACGCGAGCCUGAACCAGCCAAGUAGCGUGAAGGAUGACUGCCCUACGGGUUGUAACCUUCUUUUAUAAAGGAAUAAAGUGAGUCACGUGUGCCUUUUUGUAUGUACUUUAUGAAUAAGGAUCGCCUAAAUCCGUGCCCGCAGCCGCGGUAAUACGGAGGAUCCGAGCGUUAUCCGGAUUUAUUGGGUUUAAAGGGCGCGUAGAUGGGGUGUUAAGUCAAUGGUGAAAGUUUGCGGCUCAACCGUAAAAUUGCAAUUGAUACUGGUAGUCUAGAGUACAGGUGAGGUAGGCGGAAUUCGUGGUGUAGCGGUGAAAUGCUUAGAGAUCACGAAGAACUCCGAUUGCGAAGGCAGCUUACUAAACUGCCACUGACAUUGAUGCUCGAAAGUGUGGGGAUCAAACAGGAUUAGAUACCCUAGUAGUC